RNAcentral lists this ribosomal RNA (269 nucleotides) under uncultured Planctomycetales bacterium. RNAcentral's name for it is "partial 16S ribosomal RNA". It matches the Rfam family "Bacterial small subunit ribosomal RNA", at positions 565 to 832 of the family's 1533-position model. The record is from RNAcentral. Lineage: Bacteria; Pseudomonadati; Planctomycetota; Planctomycetia; Planctomycetales.
GAGCACGUAGGUGGGUUUGUAAGUCAGAUGUGAAAGCCUUCUGUUCAACGGAAGAAUUGCAUCUGAAACUGCGAGUCUUGAGUGUAGGAGGGGAGAAUGGAACUUCUGGUGGAGCGGUGAAAUGCGUAGAUAUUAGAAGGAACUCCGGCGGCGAAAGCGAUUCUCUGGCCUAUUACUGACACUCAGUGUGCGAAAGCUAGGGGAGCAAACGGGAUUAGAUACCCCGGUAGUCCUAGCCGUAAACGAUGGGCACUAAGUAGAGGGGUUUU